CUCUGUGCAUUCAGAAGAGAAGAACAUUUCUGAGUCCUCACGAAACUAUUUCAGUUACAUACAGUGAAUUAGACAAAUUAAGUGUAUACCUUGAUGAGUAUACAUGUGACAACACCCAACCCAAGGUGCAGAAUAUUUAUAAUACCUAAGAAGAAUCCUUUGUAUGUGCCCCUUGAAGGUGAAAUUUUCCAAAGUUUUAACAAAAGGUUAGAGAAGACAGCAAGUUCAAAAAAGGAGAGGGAAAGAAAGAAAGAGAAAUAGAGAGAGAGGAAUAUCUUUGACCAUCAGUCUGUGACCUGCCCCUUCUCUUUACGGAACUGGUGUUUUUAAUGUCAUGUGAGGACAACAUUACACAAUGGAUCUUUGGCAGGGAUACACAGAAAUGAAUACCGUGUGCGAACAAACAUUAAAUGGCAGUCUUAAUUAC
This 427-nucleotide long non-coding RNA is filed under the name Homo sapiens (human). Its description in RNAcentral is "non-protein coding lnc-ZNF80-4:10". Lineage: Eukaryota; Metazoa; Chordata; Mammalia; Primates; Hominidae. The record is from RNAcentral.